UGGGGAAUUUUGGACAAUGGGGGCAACCCUGAUCCACCCAUGCCGCGUGAGUGAAGAAGGCCUUCGGGUUGUAAAGUUCUUUUGGCGGGAAAGAAAUGGCAUUGGCUAAUAUCCGUAGUUGAUGACGGUACCCGAAUAGGAAGCACCGGCUAACUUACUGCCCCCGGCCGCGGUAAUGAA
This 180-nucleotide ribosomal RNA is filed under the name uncultured Azospira sp. RNAcentral describes it as "partial 16S ribosomal RNA". It matches the Rfam family "Bacterial small subunit ribosomal RNA", at positions 355 to 529 of the family's 1533-position model. The record is from RNAcentral. Lineage: Bacteria; Pseudomonadati; Pseudomonadota; Betaproteobacteria; Rhodocyclales; Rhodocyclaceae.